UGCACCUGGCCCCAGACUGAUUUGUGGGGGGUGGGGGUGCUGGAAAGCUAAGACCCGCUCUGCCACAUUUUGCCACCCUCUAGCCUUUCUGAGAAAGAGACUUCUCAGAGAAAAGAACAGCGCGUGAAAUACACGAGAUGUUAAACCUGGCCCCGGGAAAUGAAAGUCCUGGUUCUCUGUACUGAGAGGCGGUGGUCACUUUUCCGCCAAGCUAGGAAAGAAAGAACAGCUGUCAUGAGAGGUUUGGUGCCGUGGGUGGUCUCCCAGAACCCUCCUGGUAGCCCUAGGAGGUGGCUGUCACUGACCCCUUCACAGCCAGGCAGAAACUGAGGCUGGCAGAGGCCGGGUGACUUUGUGGUCACACAGGGUUGGGGUGACUCUAAGACAGGCACUGUUCGCCCCUAAGCUCUCCUGCCCCAACCCCGGGGCCAUCCAGGCCCUGUUUGUGGCUUCCUUCCCUCCAGGCACUGAGCAUUCUGCAGGAUUGAAUUCCUCCUCUGUCCCCCACCUCCCCUGCCCCUCCUUCCUCCAUCCCUGCACAGGCAGGAAACACGGGCCCCCAGCCCUGGCCUUCGCAUAUAAAUAUUUGUCUAGCAAAUUAAUAAACACAGAGGGGAGGCCUGCAGUAAAACCAGGCAGGAGCCGCGUCCUCUACCACAGCUUCUCCGCUGUGUGACCUCAGGCAAGUUACUGCGCCUCUCUGCGCCUGUCCCCUUCUCCGUGAAACGGUAGAGUGGAACAUAGUCCGUGCAACAAGAUAUUAGGGAAGCCGAGUCGAGAUUCCAGGAUGAAGUCACUUUGUGACUUCCCUGCGCAAGGAAGAGACCGCUUACUUGCACCAGGAGGAUCCUCAGAGGGGGCUAAUGCCUGAACUGUUCUGGAAUUCUCCUGCCUGAAGCCCACCAAUGACUUCUCUGCUGUCCUCAGAACUAACCCAGAGCAGCCUGUAUCCUUAAACCAACCUCCUCUUCCGGGAGCCACCACCGCUCGCCCCUCAGGCCUGGCCAGUCCUCUCUGCAGCAGGUGCCUCCUACCUUGAAUCCUUGCGUCUGCCUGCACUCUUGGCUCACAGGCAGCCAGGAAGAUCCUUUGAAAACACAACUGCGAUAAUGUCACCUCGGUGCACUCAACAAGCCAGUGGCUUCCCAUUGUAGUUGCGGGAAAACCCUAAAUCGUUAUAGCUCACCAAGCUCCAGACCUCAGGGUCCAGUUCCCCUCAACCUCCUCUCCUCCUGCCUGGUCACUCACCUGCUUUAACCACACAGGCCUCUUUGCUGUUCCCCUCGGAGCCCGUGUACCUGCCUUUUUCCUCCCCCCAAAUGUCUUUCUCCAGACGCUUCUGUGGUGGAUGCCUUCCCUUCCAGGUCUCUGCCCAAAUACCACCUCCUUAGAGCUUCCCCGGACCCCCAGCUGCUGUGCCCUCAACUCUCUCUCACAUGUACACCCUAAUUCUCCUCUUCACCCCUUACCCACCUUAGUUUUUCUUCUAAGUGCUUACUUCCACCCGAAAUUAUUUUACUUGUAAAGUGUAUAAAUUAAAAAUGUUACAAUACUGUCCAUCUCUCUAAAGCAUAAUCUCUAGAAGAGCAUGAACAGUGAAGGAAAAGAAGAAAGGGUAAAGGAAUUAGGGGCAGAUCUGGCUGAGUGGAGGCAGGCAGGAAGGAGGCAGAGGUGAAACCUGGGCGCUAGGAUCUCUGGGGGAAUGGCGGGUCGAGCUCAGGGAGCCGGCACAAGGCCCUGUGGAAUGAGGCUGAGGGUGACUUUCGGAACAAAGUAUAUGGAGCUGUAAAUACCAGAAGGGGAGCCGUGGAACCCAGAAGCAGAAUUCAGUAUUGGCCCUAAAGCCUCUUCCAUCUCUCUGGAAGGCAAGUUAUAACUUCUGGAAAGGACGGUGAGGGUCGGAUCCUAUAGAUCGUAUUCCAGGCUUGGCCUGAGCUGCUCUCCUGACCAUCCUCUGAGCCGGGAGGGUGUGGACUCAAGAUUUGGGGCCAAGGAGGAACUCGCAGCGUCACGCCCUCUGGAAUGCUGUGGCGGUGAUUAACGCGCUCCAGAUUUGCACAGUUCCCGUCAGAACAUGAAACCAGAGGAAAAAAAACCCAUGAGGCCCAGAUUGAUCAGCGCAGAACUUAGCAACAGCACACCAAGCUGUAGCCAGCCCACUUCUGCAGCGAGGGGCUUUCCGCCAGGCCUGGGGCUUGGGAACUCCGAGCGGGCUCUGCUGUCUCUGGCUGGUUUGCAGGGCCCAGAGGCCCACCCCGUGGGCCAUUGCGGUGGUGGGUCUGCGACUUGUGCUGGAACCCCAGGGCAUCCCAGAGAUGGCCUACAAUCCCUACGGGGAGCCUGAGAAAGGAAGGCUGGUGGGUGUCCCCACGCUUGGCCACCUUGGGAACCCUGGUUCACUCUGCUGGUUGAUGGGCUCACCAGGCCCACACCUUUGCCAGGAGCUGACAAGAGCGUGGGGGGACUUCUGAGUUUCAGAAACAUCCAGAUCACCCCGGCAUUUCACGGUGAGUCACAGCCUCCGGUCUUCACCAUGACAUCUGGACGGCAAGGAACUUGGCCGGCUCCCGACCCAGUUCCUCAGUGCCUCCUCCCUCCACCAGGCCAGCUGCACACUCCCUGGGCCAGCAUGAUCGUGUUAUAAAAUAUCUCAAGCAUAUGGAGGUUCAUAAAAUCGUACUGGGGACAAGCACCCCUCACUCCUGUUUAA
Long non-coding RNA from Felis catus (domestic cat), 2710 nucleotides. RefSeq lists it as uncharacterized. The record is from RefSeq and is a predicted model, not a curated record. Lineage: Eukaryota; Metazoa; Chordata; Mammalia; Carnivora; Felidae. The transcript has 3 exons.